UUUCCUGGNUCAGAUUGAACGCUGGCGGCAGGCUUAACACAUGCAANUCGAGCGGAGAUGAGGUGCUUGCACCUUAUCUUAGCGGCGGACGGGUGAGUAAUGCUUAGGAAUCUGCCUAUUAGUGGGGGACAACAUUCCGAAAGGAAUGCUAAUACCGCAUACGUCCUACGGGAGAAAGCAGGGGAUCUUCGGACCUUGCGCUAAUAGAUGAGCCUAAGUCGGAUUAGCUAGUUGGUGGGGUAAAGGCCUACCAAGGCGACGAUCUGUAGCGGGUCUGAGAGGAUGAUCCGCCACACUGGGACUGAGACACGGCCCAGACUCCUACGGGAGGCAGCAGUGGGGAAUAUUGGACAAUGGGGGGAACCCUGAUCCAGCCAUGCCGCGUGUGUGAAGAAGGCCUUAUGGUUGUAAAGCACUUUAAGCGAGGAGGAGGCUACUGAGACUAAUACUCUUGGAUAGUGGACGUUACUCGCAGAAUAAGCACCGGCUAACU
RNAcentral lists this ribosomal RNA (493 nucleotides) under Acinetobacter sp. AS-6. RNAcentral's name for it is "bacterial SSU rRNA". It matches the Rfam family "Bacterial small subunit ribosomal RNA", at positions 15 to 502 of the family's 1533-position model. The record is from RNAcentral. Lineage: Bacteria; Pseudomonadati; Pseudomonadota; Gammaproteobacteria; Moraxellales; Moraxellaceae.